AACGAACGCUGGCGGCAUGCCUAACACAUGCAAGUCGAACGAGACCUGCGGGUCUAGUGCCGCACGGGUGCGUAACGCGUGGGAACCUGCCCUUAGGUUCGGAAUAACUCCCCGAAAGGGGUGCUAAUACCGGAUAAUGUCUUCGGACCAAAGAUUUAUCGCCCUUGGAUGGGCCCGCGUUGGAUUAGCUAGUUGGUAGGGUAAAAGCCUACCAAGGCGACGAUCCAUAGCUGGUCUGAGAGGAUGAUCAGCCACACUGGGACUGAGACACGGCCCAGACUCCUACGGGAGGCAGCAGUGGGGAAUAUUGGACAAUGGGCGACAGCCUGAUCCAGCAAUGCCGCGUGAGUGAUGAAGGCCUGAGGGUUGUAAAGCUCUUUUACCCGGGAUGAUAAUGACAGUACCGGGAGAAUAAGCUCCGGCUAACUCCGUG
This 433-nucleotide ribosomal RNA is filed under the name uncultured bacterium. RNAcentral's name for it is "partial 16S ribosomal RNA". It matches the Rfam family "Bacterial small subunit ribosomal RNA", at positions 29 to 507 of the family's 1533-position model. The record is from RNAcentral.